UUUUUUAUAGGUGAUGGAGUUCACCUUAAAUGCUUAGAGCUGAUGACUCCUAUAGGUUU
This 59-nucleotide non-coding RNA is filed under the name Clostridium acidisoli. RNAcentral describes it as "Fluoride sequence". It matches the Rfam family "Fluoride riboswitch aptamer (crcB RNA motif)". RNAcentral also lists the same sequence under 1 other name. Lineage: Bacteria; Bacillati; Bacillota; Clostridia; Eubacteriales; Clostridiaceae. The record is from RNAcentral.